This 987-nucleotide ribosomal RNA is filed under the name Triticum aestivum (bread wheat). Its description in RNAcentral is "partial small subunit ribosomal RNA". Lineage: Eukaryota; Viridiplantae; Streptophyta; Magnoliopsida; Poales; Poaceae. The record is from RNAcentral.
AUGCCGCUCCCCAAAGACAUCCUCAGAUGUGCCUCCCUCACCCGCCUCUACAUAGGCGUCUGGAACUUCCCGGACAUUCCCACCGCUCACCGGCCCGCCUUCCCAAACCUCCACGAGCUCGGCCUUUUCCACUCCAUGGUCGAAGACAAGAAGUUCAACGCCUUGCUCGCACACUGCCCUGAAUUGAAGAUCCUCUCCUUUGCCCUCUCGUACAACUACCCUUCAUGCCUCCGCAUCAAGUCCCGCAGCCUCCGUGUGGUAUUGGAAUGGGUAUGCACCUUUGAUAAAAUCAUUGUUGACGAUGCCCCCUGCCUGGAGCGCCUGCUCUUCGAAAGCUUUUCCGAGCAGAGGAGGCCCGUCAAGAUUGUCCAUGCGUCCAGGCUGGAGGUGCUCGGGUUCUUGGACUUCCAGCUCCACACGCUCGAGAUUGGCGGCACCGUCAUCAGGGCUGGGAUGACUAUGAAAGAUGGCGCCUUGCUGCCAAGUUUGAAGAUACUGGCUGUCAAGGUGCGGUUUUCGCAUGACAAGGAGGUCAAGAUGCUGCACACUCUGCUCAGAUGCUUUCCUUGCCUCGAGACGCUCCACAUCAUGUCCAUUCCAUCCUGGUCUGCUGAUAGGGGUGAUUGUGCCGAGACCUGGAAUUCCAUGGGCUCUUCCAACUGCCUCUCUCAUCUGAAGACAUUCGUCCUCCACGGGUUCCGAGGCCUGGACCGUGAGCAGUUGUUCGACAGUUACAUACUGGAGAAGGGGAUAAAGACGCUGGGCAUUGUCUGUGGUGACAGUGAUGGUGUGCUACUGAAGGGCAAUGCACCAUCAGGUGGAAGCAGUGGUAGUGGUAUUUCUGUUUGCCCCGCCUCCAGUUGCUGGAGCUUUCAGCACGCCAUCGACUUGUCAGUGGAGGACCCGUUCUGCGUGUUGAGGCGUGACAAGGCCCGCAUCGCUUCUUUUGCUGAGGCAAUGAGACUUUGCGCUAGUUUGGGUUGUUGA